NNNNNNNNNNNNNNNNNNNNNNNNNNNNNNUCUUUCCCUGGAGAUAUUCAAAACCCACCUGGACGCGAUCCUGGGCAAUGUUCUCUAGGUGACCCUACUUGAGCAGGGGGGUUGGACUAGAUGAUCUCCAGAGGUCCCUUCCAACCUUGGCCAUUCUGUGAUUCUGUGACGCAUGGACAAAGUGACACUUGCUCCAGCCACCAGAGAAAGUAUGUAGAGGCUACUUUAGGCACUAAUCCUGGAGCCCAGGGAUUUCUCACCCAAAUGUGGUUGUGCUCAGCUCUCACUCCCUGCACCGCAGCCCCAAAAGCGGGUGAUUUCUGGGCGAUGCUCACACGAUUUAGCCAGACGGCAUGUGCACGCAUGGGGAGAGGAGCGCUGGGGCAACAGGAGCGCUGAAGACGGUCACUGCCAGCCAUGAAGCCCAAAAUAAAACUGUGUGAAGCUCCCAACCAUCACGUGCGUUUUCAUGCUGAAUAACUUGAACUGGUUAAAAUGGGGCCGCAAACCCACGUCGAAACUUCAUCUAUGUGGGAAUCAGAGGCUGACCUUGCUAUACUGGGAGCAGGGAGUGCAAGGAGACGGCUGUCGGGGCGACGGCUGUGUGUGUCGCCUUGUUCCUGGAACUGUUUUGAUACCGGGUGUUUUGAUAAGAAAUGUGCAAGGUUAAAUUGUAGUAGCACGGUACCUGAUAAGCGAUGGGAUCUGCCAGCGACGCCAGCCAAUGCCAGGAAAUGCCGACGGAGCGUGGGGGGAGAGAGGCUGGAGCCGGUUUGGCAGGGGGAGGGGNNNNNNNNNNNNNNNNNNNNNGGCGAGAGAGCAGGUCAGAGCUCGUGGGAAACCGGAGCCAGCCAAGGGCGACGGUGCACAGGGAAGGAGCAGGCGGGGACAGUCCCGGCUAGGGCACGAGGAGCUCCUGAGUAUGGAGCUUAUGGCAAACAGGCAAAGAUACUCCUGGGAACUGUAGAAAUAGGAGAGAGGGAAAGGGAGAAUGCUCCCAGUUCCCAUCUGGGCAGAGAAAUGAUGGAGGAGUGUCCCCUGCACUGCAGUGGUCAGACACCAGACGAGUGUCCCCUGCACUGUAGCCGUUGGAGGUGGAUGAGCCUCCCCUGCACGGCAGCAGUUGGAUGCUGGACGAGCAUCCCCUGCGCUGCAGAGGUCAGAGGUGGAUGCCCGUCCCUUGCGCCUGGAGGCCAGGUAAGCAUCCCCUGCACAGCAGCAGUUGGAUGUCAGAUGAAUAUCCCCUGCACUGCAAUGGCUGGAUGUUGGACGAGUGUCCCCUACACUGCAGUAGUUGGAUGCUGGAUGAGUGUCCCCUACACUGCAGUGGCCAGACACCAGCCGACGAGCAUCCCCUGCGUGGCAGCGGUCAGAUGUCACAUGAGCAUCCCUUGCAUGGCAGUGGUUGGAUGCAGGAUGAGCGUCCCCUACACUCCAGCAGUUGGACACUGGACGAGUAUCCCCUAUGCUGCAGCGGUC
This 1479-nucleotide long non-coding RNA is filed under the name Struthio camelus australis. Its description in RNAcentral is "lncRNA (ENSSCUG00000008690.1)". Lineage: Eukaryota; Metazoa; Chordata; Aves; Struthioniformes; Struthionidae. The record is from RNAcentral.